RNAcentral lists this ribosomal RNA (253 nucleotides) under uncultured bacterium. Its description in RNAcentral is "partial 16S ribosomal RNA". It matches the Rfam family "Bacterial small subunit ribosomal RNA", at positions 524 to 776 of the family's 1533-position model. The record is from RNAcentral.
UACAGAGGGUGCGAGCGUUAAUCGGAAUUACUGGGCGUAAAGCGUGCGUAGACGGUUUUGUAAGUCGGAUGUGAAAUCCCCGGGCUCAACCUGGGAAUUGCAUUCGAGACUGCAAGGCUUGGGUGCGGAAGAGGGAAGCGGAAUUUCCGGUGUAGCGGUGAAAUGCGUAGAUAUCGGGAGGAACACCAGUGGCGAAGGCGGCUCUCUGGGCCUUUCCUGACGCUGAGACGCGAAAGCGUGGGGAGCGAACCGG